AACGAACGCUGGCGGCAUGCCUAACACAUGCAAGUCGAACGAAGCCUUCGGGCUUAGUGGCGCACGGGUGCGUAACGCGUGGGAAUCUGCCCCUUGCUUCGGAAUAACAGUUAGAAAUGACUGCUAAUACCGGAUGAAGUCUUCGGACCAAAGAUUUAUCGGCAAGGGAUGAGCCCGCGUAGGAUUAGGUAGUUGGUGGGGUAAAGGCCACCAAGCCGACGAUCCUUAGCUGGUCUGAGAGGAUGAUCAGCCACACUGGGACUGAGACACGGCCCAGACUCCUACGGGAGGCAGCAGUGGGGAAUAUUGGACAAUGGACGCAAGUCUGAUCCAGCAAUGCCGCGUGAGUGAUGAAGGCCUUAGGGUUGUAAAGCUCUUUUACCAGGGAUGAUAAUGACAGUACCUGGAGAAUAAGCUCCGGCUAACUCCGUG
This 432-nucleotide ribosomal RNA is filed under the name uncultured bacterium. RNAcentral's name for it is "partial 16S ribosomal RNA". It matches the Rfam family "Bacterial small subunit ribosomal RNA", at positions 29 to 507 of the family's 1533-position model. The record is from RNAcentral.